CUUGACAUCUACAGAAUCCUGCGGAGACGCGGGAGUGCCUUCGGGAACUGUAAGACAGGUGCUGCAUGGCCGUCGUCAGCUCGUGUUGUGAAAUGUUGGGUUAAGUCCCGCAACGAGCGCAACCCUCAUCCUUGUUUGCCAGCGAGUAAUGUCGGGAACUCCAGGGAGACUGCCGGUGAUAAACCGGAGGAAGGUGGGGACGACGUCAAGUCAUCAUGGCCCUUACGAGUAGGGCUACACACGUGCUACAAUGGCGCAUACAGAGGGCAGCGAACUUGCGAGAGUAAGCGAAUCCCAAAAAGUGCGUCGUAGUCCGGAUUGGAGUCUGCAACUCGACUCCAUGAAGUCGGAAUCGCUAGUAAUCGUGAAUCAGAAUGUCACGGUGAAUACGUUCCCGGGCCUUGUACACACCGCCCGUCACACCAUGGGAGUGGGCUGCAAAAGAAGCAGGUAGUUAAC
This 459-nucleotide ribosomal RNA is filed under the name Vibrio sp. RNAcentral's name for it is "bacterial SSU rRNA". It matches the Rfam family "Bacterial small subunit ribosomal RNA", at positions 980 to 1439 of the family's 1533-position model. The record is from RNAcentral. Lineage: Bacteria; Pseudomonadati; Pseudomonadota; Gammaproteobacteria; Vibrionales; Vibrionaceae.